Molecule: non-coding RNA, 87 nt
Organism: Candidatus Melainabacteria bacterium GWA2_34_9
Lineage: Bacteria; Bacillati; Candidatus Melainabacteria
Source: Rfam
GGAGGAGUGCCUGAGCGGUUUAAAGGAACGGUCUUGAAAACCGUCGUGUGGGCAACUGCACCGUGAGUUCGAAUCUCACCUCCUCCG